Molecule: ribosomal RNA, 464 nt
Filed under: uncultured bacterium
Lineage: Bacteria
Description: partial 16S ribosomal RNA
Rfam family: Bacterial small subunit ribosomal RNA
Source: RNAcentral
AACGAACGCUGGCGGCAUGCUUAACACAUGCAAGUUGAACGCAGGAUAGGACUUCGGUUCUAUUGCUGAGUAGCAAACGGGUGAGUAACGCGUGGGAAUCUACCUUUUUGGGGGGGAUAACUGAGGGAAACUUCAGCUAAUACCGCAUAAGCUCUACGGAGGAAAGGCUUCGGCCGCAAGAAGAGGAGCCCGCGUCAGAUUAGGUAGUUGGUAGGGUAAAAGCCUACCAAGCCAAUGAUCUGUAGCUGGUCUGAGAGGAUGAUCAGCCACACUGGGACUGAGACACGGCCCAGACUCCUACGGGAGGCAGCAGUGGGGAAUAUUGGACAAUGGGGGAAACCCUGAUCCAGCAAUGCCGCGUGAAUGAAGAAGGCCUUAGGGUUGUAAAGUUCUUUCACCUGUGAAGAUUAUGACGGUAGCAGGAGAAGAAGCCCCGGCUAACUCCGUGCCAGCCGCCGCAGUAA